This 420-nucleotide ribosomal RNA is filed under the name uncultured bacterium. RNAcentral describes it as "SSU rRNA". It matches the Rfam family "Bacterial small subunit ribosomal RNA", at positions 369 to 808 of the family's 1533-position model. The record is from RNAcentral.
CAAUGGGGGAACCCUGAUGCAGCGACGCCGCGUGGAGGAAGAAGGUCUUCCGAUUGUAAACUCCUGUUGUUGAGGAAGAUAAUGACGGUACUCAACAAGGAAGUGACGGCUAAAUACGUGCCAGCAGCCGCGGUAAAACGUAGGUCACAAGCGUUGUCCGGAAUUACUGGGUGUAAAGGGAGCGCAGGCGGGAAGACAAGUUGGAAGUGAAAUCUAUGGGCUCAACCCAUAAACUGCUUUCAAAACUGUUUUUCUUGAGUAGUGCAGAGGUAGGCGGAAUUCCCGGUGUAGCGGUGGAAUGCGUAGAUAUCGGGAGGAACACCAGUGGCGAAGGCGGCCUACUGGGCACCAACUGACGCUGAGGCUCGAAAGUGUGGGUAGCAAACAGGAUUAGAUACCUGGUAGUCCAAGGGCGAAUUC